RNAcentral lists this long non-coding RNA (7165 nucleotides) under Marmota monax (woodchuck). The record is from RNAcentral. Lineage: Eukaryota; Metazoa; Chordata; Mammalia; Rodentia; Sciuridae.
AGUUUGGAAUUUUUGAAAAGGUGGUCAGGGUGAACUUUACUGAAGAUCUGCCAUUUGAACAGACUCAAAAGAGAGGAGGACAUUAGCCAGGCAGUUAUUUUGGAAAUGAGUUCUGCAAAGAGAGGAGCCAGUGCAAAGGCCUUGGUGUGCUCAAGAAUAGCUGGAAGGUCAGCGUGGCUGCCGCAGGUGAGGGAUGUGGAGAGUGGUGGGAGAUGAGGUCUAAGAGGUGACAUGGGGAUGGUAGGGAAGGGGUCAAGAAAGCUCAUGAAGGCCCGAUGACAUUGAAAGAGCUGAUUUCCUUUAAGAUUCAGUCUCUUGAGGCUCAAGCAAUUUGAACCUGUGUCCAGGGUCCCUCAGAGAUCUACAGUUCUGUGGUUCUGUGACAGAGAGCAACAUCCCUGCCCACCACAGAGCGACAGCCAGGCUUACCUCAGAACUAAGAAGUCACCAGAGGAGAGAUUGGGAUUGGGAGAGGCUAGACCAGAUCCUCCAGCAGAUCAGAGACUGGACAGCAUUAACAAAUGGAAUUUUCUCUGCAACACAGGGCCCAGGUUGCACCCAGGUCCCUAAUGCUGAAGCUCCUAAUUCUUAGAAAGUAGGUUGCCUCAGAAAGUGCAGGUUGGGUUCUAGAACCAUGCAGGGAAACCAUGCAGGGCUGGGAAUGGGACCUGGAUGGAGCUUUAUACAUGCUGAGCAAGCACUCUACUGCUGAGCUCCAACCCUAGCCCCCAAAUCUUCCUAUUCUGUGAGAGUCUCAUGGUUCCAACUGAUCCCAGAGUGGUAAGUGCACCUGGAAGCAAUCUAGGGUUCAGAUUGUUUGUUCUGGAAAGACCCUAAGAGUACCCUCCUCAUGCUAGGUCUUGGGGAAGGCUGGGGAGGUAGUAGGAGGAAAGCGGGAAGGGAAGUUUCCAAACUACUCUGGGACAGGCCUCCACUCAUCCCCCACCUUAAUUAUCAGUCCAAUCUAUGCUAUCUCCAGGCCUUCCUGGGUUUUGUUUUGGGGGUCUAUUUAUUUAUAUUUUCUUCUACAUCUGUUUCUGAGACCCUUCUGUAUAGUUCUUUUGCCCUAAAUUGAUCAGUAAUGGUCUCAAACUGUGUAUGGGGUUCUGGCUGAGACCACUGGGACUUCUGAUAAUUUCCCUCAGACUCACACUGGCCAACACAAAGGUGAGGUGUCCUUCAUGGACCUGGUCUUGGGCCAAACAGUGAGAGCUUCUCUCCUGGGUAAGUGCUACAUGUCCAACUCAAGGACAACUCCUUUUUUUUUUUUUUUUUUGGUACUGAACCCAGGGGCACUGAACCACUGAGCCAUAUCACAUCUCCCAGCCCCAGCUCUUUUUAUUUUUUAUUUCAAAACAGGGUCUCAGUAAGUUGCUUAGCCCCUUACUAGGUUGCUAGGUUGCUGAGGCUGGCUUUGAACUUGCAAUCAAUCCUUCCUCAGCCUCCCAAGCAGGUGCCACAGAGCCCAGGAGCAGCUCCUCUUGAAUACCCAGUAGAAACAGACUCUUAUGUGUGAGCCCCAGGAAAUUUCUUCUGUCCUUAAGGAAUCUGAAACUAACCAGGUUCCAGUUCUGCUCAGAAAUCUACUUUCCAGUUAAGAAAAAUUCUUGUUGCCAAAUGUCCCCCUUCCACAUCCUCCCAAUACACACCACAGGGCACGUGUAAAAUAAGUCCAUUGUCUUGUCUGAGCUCAGUGUGAAUUCCUCAGCGGUUAAAAAUGUUAGUUUGUUUUUUCCUGCGUUUUACAGUCUGGUAUAAUUUCAUUAGACACCUUUCCUUCAUUCCCCCCCAAAUAAGAAUCCUGUACUGUGUGUGUCUGUGUGUGUAUGUGUGUGUGUGUGUGUGUGUUACUGGGGAUUGGCCUCCCACAAGCUAGUCAAGAGCUCCACCACUGGGCUACAUUCCCAGCCCCCAUUACCUUUUAACAUCCUCCUGUUUUGCAUUUCUUUUUUUUUUUUAAUUUUUUUUUAUUGGUUGUUCAAAACAUUAUAAAGCUCUUGACAUAUCAUAUUUCAUACAUUAGAUUCAAGUUGGUUAUGAAUGUUUUGCAUUUCUGAGACCUUUACACAUUGUCCUAAGUUUUUCUCCCACAGAGAAUUGUCAAAUAACCAAGUAGCCAGUUCACUUCCUAUUCCAUUUAUGCCUUAACACUGAGUGCGGCUCAUUUAACUGAGGUUUUCUGAAAACACAUCUAAGGAGGUAUGGAGAUAUAUGUAGAGUCAAAGAUUGCUGUGAGUUUUUUUUUUCCUUUAAAAAACUUUAUUUUUAAUGACACAAUUCUUUUCUUUAAACACUCAGAAUGCAAAGGAAUUGAUUCCUGGGGAGAAUGAUGACUAUUCUCAAGCCAGCAGGGAAAGAUGUUACCUUUCGCCUCCUUUGUCUUCUAUCAGGGGCUCACCUGGACCAUCUUCCCUUGAAUCAAUAAAAAAAGUUUCUUGCUACAAACACCACAGAACCAGCAGGCUGAGUCCUGGAUUGUUCAAAACAGCCAUUGGAAAUGCUGCUCUAAAUAAACCCCACCAAAGUCUUUAUUAACUUAGUCGAAAAGCCUCACCAGCUUCAACAAUCUCAGGACCUGGAAGAAAUGGACGUAUAGCUGCAUUAUCUGGGGACAGAAGUCAGAGCUGCCUGUCACUGCACUUGGUAUGAUGAUGGGGCCAUGGAGUGGUUAAGGGCACAGGUACAGGGUUUAACAAAGCAUAUGCCUGUGCUAGCCUGGAUAGAUUGCAUAACACUCUGUGCCUCAGGGUCCUCAUCUUUAAAAUGGGGACAAUAAAAGUAGCUACUUGAAAGUUAUUCUGAGGUUUAAAUUAAAUACUACAUGUAGAGCAAUUAAAAUAGUGCCUGAGGGCUGGUGGGUAUAGUUCAAUGAUAGAAUGCUUGCCUAACAUGCUGGAGGCCCUGGAUUCAAUCAUCAGUACUGCAAAAAUAAAUAUAUAAAUAACAAAACAACACCUGAUACAUAAUAAGCAUUUUAUAACAAUAAGCUAUUUUGUAUUAUCAUUGUACUAGCAUCUGAUAUUAACAUCUGGCAUAUGAUAUAUAUACUAGAUAUAUUCAUAUGUCUGUCCAAAGCAUAUACAAAUACUUUGUAUACAUAUACAAAGCAUAUACAUAUACUCCAUAUACACACUCCAUAUACAAAGCGAAGCUUGAGCAACUCCUUCAUUUCUCUGUGUAUUUAUAUGCACAGGGAUUGCCUGAUUGCAGAACCUUUAUAAACCCAUCAGCCAUGCCAAGAUCCUUCUACCCUAAGCUCUCCCUGCAAGCCCAUCAUCUUGCUUCCUGGCACUGAGCCUGGCAGCCUGUUCCAGCCCCACAUCAAGGUCAGAGAGGAAAGAGACAGAGGGCCAGCUGCUCCAUCUCCUUCUGUCUGGGAGGGCUGCGGCAGGCAGGGAGCAGCAAGGAUUGGGACUUUGGCAGGAGGAGUGAAGUCCCCAGCCAAGGAAUGACCAGCCAAGCAUGAGAACAGAGUCUUGCUCCCCUUCUGUCAUAUAUAACCCACAUCACACAUCCUCACAACACUCUCAACACUGCACAACAUCCCAACACUCCCAACAUGACACAACACCCCAAAACACACAACACUACAGCAUAACACAUACAACAUGACACAAUACCCCAAAACACACACUUCCAACUCUUUACAGCCCCAACACAUAUUCACAACACCAUUCAAUACCCCAACACUACACCACACCACACCACACAUGGUGCCAUAAAACACACACACACACACAACACUCACACAACACUACGCACCACCACCACACACACAGACACCAGCAAAGCUGUCCUAUCCUUUUAUACCCUCUUCCUUUUUUUUCUGUAGACCAACAGGGCAGCACUCAGCUCGUCUGCUGGGGGCCAAAGGGGAAGGGGAAGAAAGUGGGCAGGACAGGGCAGACACUGGGCCAAUCCUGGCUCAUCCGGGUACCAGCAAGAGAGCUCAACUCUCUGAGCCUCAGUUUCUCUGUCUCUGAAAUCAUCGUAAUGCUUAUAUUCAAGGAAUAUUGUUGGGAUUCAUCUAGAUAAUGACUAAGAACCAUCCCACCUAGUGCCUGGUGCACAACAACUGCCCUAGAAUUGGUAAUGGCUGAAAAUAAGGCUGGAAAGUGGAGAGGAGCAAAGAUGGAGAGAUGCAAGCUAAAGCACUCAAGGAAGGAAACCCUCACCCCAGAAAAAAAUCAGCACCCUUGUCCUCUCAUUAAGGUUGGAGUAUCCACAGCAACCCCAGGAACUUGUAUCAUCUGUCAUGAUUUCCAAUUUGGAACCUUAAAGAGAACAGCAUUAGGAAAUGUAUUAAUUAGAGUCAGGUCUUCAACCUAAAUCAUGUAUUUGAAUAGAAGAAUCCCUGCUUUAUUGUCCCAAUAGCCCGGCAGCCAGAAGCCAUAUGGUGGUUUUUGGGGAGAACACAGCUAGUGUCCUCAGCACAGCCAUCCCCAACAGCAGAGCCUGAGUGGGACCCUGACUGGCUUACUAAUGACCAUCUCAUGCUGGAACAUUUUUCCAGCUUCUCCCUCCUGGCUAUGGCUGUCCUGGGUCAUCUUCUUUUCAACAUGAUUCCCAUUUCAGGGUCCCAGGCUCCUUUAAGAAGAAACUUGGGAAAGGAUAAACUCUUCCUUGCAAUUUUUCAUAGUUCUGACUGGCUUCUGGGUCCCCUUAGAACCACUGUUUCAGGCAGCGUGGGGACAUCAGAGCCUGCUUCCUGGCUUGGCCGUACCCUACAGAGUCCAUUGGAGUUUGGCUUCCUUGAGGAUCAGAGAGUCCUUCCACCUGGAGGCCAUAUUGAGCCAAUUGGUUUACAAGCAGCCUCGUGUGGAGCACACCGUUUUGCUUAGAGGUCCAUGUUCUGGCAAUGAACCCAAAGAGGACCAGGCUGGGUGGGGAACGCACAUCCCUGCCCCACUUCAGCAACAGAAAGAGAGUUGCAAGAGUUUGCAUUUCUCUGCACAGCUUUCAGAGUGGCUCAACUCCCACAAGAAAAAUGGAAAAACCAAGUGUUGGCAAUUCCCCAAUGUUGUACCAGAGAAGAGUAUGUGGCCUUCACACAGAAAUCAGAAGAAGGGACACUCAACCUAUGCCGAUCAUCAGUUCAUUCCAUGUGUGGUAGGAAUAUCAUUAUGCCCCCUUUAUAGAAAAAGAAAAGGGCACCUGGAGGUAAAUUAACUUGCCAAGAUGUCAGGGUGGAAGAGCUGGGGUCCAAACUCAGGGAAUCUCAUCUCAGAGCCCAAACUGCUGCCUCCAUCCCACCCAUCUCUGUGAUGGGCUUGUUGUUGUUGCAGAAGCAGUGAGUGGAGACCAGGAGCAAAAUAACUUUCCUACAGAGCUCACUUCUGGCAUCACCUCCACUGAUGUCAUGCUCCCAAGCAGAUUGAGAUCUGGGAAGAGAAAUAACCAUUCAAUGAUGUGGGCUCCCUAAUGCCCUCUGCUCUCUCCUGCCCACAAAGAAAAGGCACUGGAGAGGGAUAAAUGAUGAGCCCAGUACCAAGGCCUUAUUUCGCCACCAAACCAGAGCAUCUUUUCAGAAGUGGGCCAGAGGACUUAACUCUUGGGUUUUCCCCACCCAGCCCCACUCCAAUCCCUUUGCUACAUCCACACUAGCCAGGAUAAAGCCUAAACACAUAUUCUGGUGGCUACCAGAAUUCACCAGAACACUUUCAUCUGGAUUGUGGAAAUUAAGGUAUAGCUUUUUACUCAAGAACUAAAAAAUAAGAUGGGUUGAGACUCAGCAUUACCAUGCCUCAUGUCACCUACCCUCGCAAACGACCUGAUUACAAAUUUUUGUCCAGAAUGCCUGCCAUGAGAACACUCCCUAAAGCAGUGCAGAAGCCUAGCAGUAUUCUCCACACUCCUGUGGCACUAACAAUAUCAUGAUGUCAAAAACGGGAUGGUGUUUUUGACCAAAAUCACAUACUUUCAGACACCCUAUAAUGCUGUAUUCCAGAUGGAUCUUAUAACCAUCCUGAUCAUCAUUUGACAACAGUAUGGAAACAAAACUAGUCUUUGUCAUCAUGCUUGUCCUGAAGUACACAACUUGAUUUCUUCCCAGCAUUGUCAUGGUCUGACACCCUUUUGAUUGACUGCUUCUGUGAAGGGACAAUGUAAGACGGAUGGUUUGGAAGAUCUGAAUGGAACUUAGAGAAUAGCUUUCUUUCACAGAUUUGGAAAAUGAGAUCCAGAGAAGUUUAAACCACACCAUUAUUUUACGUGUUGAGAAGGUUCUUGUGAUUAGAGACAGAACCUUGUGUCUGAGGGCUGGUUCUGCCUCUUCUGAUCCCUGUGACCUUGGUGAAGUUAUUUAUCAGCCUCGGUUUCCUCCUCUGUUAAAGGAAACCGUAAGCCUCAUCUCCCAGAACUGAGACAGGGACGACACAGGAUACCAUAGGAGGUAGAAAUGCUUUAUAAAAUGUAACAUGUUGUUCAAAGAGGGUGUAUUAUGAGAGGUGUUCCCCACCGACCCGCUCUUAUUUUUCCUUUAUUGAAAAGAGGAGAGAAGCAGCAGAGGAUGUUGGUAAUGUUUAUGCUGGCUUUCGGCAUGUUGAGCUCUCUUCUAAUUAAGAUCCUAUCUUUUCUCUUCCUCAAGCCGGGGGCAAGCCUGGCCUGGCCUUCACAGCCUCCAGACCUGCAUGCGUCACUGCUGUCAGUGAAGGACAAAACCCAAAAGGAGAAGAGGAAAAUAAAUCUUUUGUUUCUGAAGCUAAAUAACCCAAAAUGCAGCUCAAAAAGUUCCAUAAAGGUUUGGCUUUCACCAACACAGAGCGGAAACAAAGCUGACCCCUCCCCUGGCCAUGCCCUCUGACCCCACUGCCUGGAAGACUGUUCUCUCAGCCUCCUGUGCUUGCUUCAGGGUUUUUGUGGGGUGGGAGACUUGCAUUUGGGGGUCAGGGAGGGAAAGGUUUAACAUCAGCCCCAGCUUCCAAGUGGCAGGGGGAGUUUAUUGAUUAAUAUUCAUGAGCAGUGUUUUAUGCCUGCCGCAGUUUCUCAUGCAAGGUGGGUUUAGAGGGAGGAAUACAUUACGGAAAUUACCCUCCUGCCACCACCUUGGGAAAUACAGGGCCCAAGGCCCAAGUUGUAAAUAUUUAACAGGGCGAACCCCCUUUCCUUUUGACUUCCCCACCACCACCCCUCAGCCUCACCCUGUGUACAUUAAACUCAUUCUUCC